GCAGUAUCAAUCUAGCAGUAGGGGCUUACAGGCAGGGUACAAUUUUGUUACCAUCUUACAUAGCCUCGGGAAGGUCUGAGGUAAGAUCACUAAACGUUCUAGCAGGGCGGCAUUAUAGUAAUGUGCGUGGUAACCAGAAAGAGCUGGAGUUUGGCCAAUGUCGGGGAUACUGUGGGAUUUCUAAAAACCAAAGCGGAGACGGUUUUACUCCAGAUGGAAAACCACGUGAUCAGCUGUUUGAGUAUAAUCUGCAAGCUGCGUUUUACUUUUAGAGCGUAGAACUCAAUUCAGACUAGUCUGAUACUGC
Molecule: RNase P RNA, 307 nt
Filed under: Athalia rosae (coleseed sawfly)
Lineage: Eukaryota; Metazoa; Arthropoda; Insecta; Hymenoptera; Athaliidae
Description: misc RNA ENSAEAG00005005178.1
Rfam family: Nuclear RNase P
About the family: Ribonuclease P (RNase P) is a ubiquitous endoribonuclease, found in archaea, bacteria and eukarya as well as chloroplasts and mitochondria.
Source: RNAcentral